Molecule: small RNA, 107 nt
Filed under: Marmota monax (woodchuck)
Lineage: Eukaryota; Metazoa; Chordata; Mammalia; Rodentia; Sciuridae
Source: RNAcentral
GCUGGGUGAGGUGGUGUACACCUGUAAUCCCCAGUAUUCUGGAGGCUGAAGCAGGAGGAUCACAAGUUUGAGGCCAACUGGGGCAACUUUGUGAAAGCCUAUCUCAA